ACUGUAGUGGCGGAAUGGUAGACGCUGGAAGACUUAGUGCUUCCUGCUCAUGAGAGCGUACAGGUUCAAAUCCUGUCUACAGUC
Molecule: transfer RNA, 84 nt
Filed under: Lachnospiraceae bacterium KHCPX20
Lineage: Bacteria; Bacillati; Bacillota; Clostridia; Lachnospirales; Lachnospiraceae
Rfam family: tRNA
About the family: Transfer RNA (tRNA) molecules are approximately 80 nucleotides in length. Their secondary structure includes four short double-helical elements and three loops (D, anti-codon, and T loops).
Source: Rfam by way of RNAcentral